GGGUCCUACGGGGGGCAGCAGUGAGGAAUAUUGGUCAAUGGGCGGGAGCCUGAACCAGCCAAGCCGCGUGAGGGAAGAAGGUACAGCGUAUCGUAAACCUCUUUUGUCAGGGAACAAAGGCGGGGACUAGUCCCCGGAUGAGGGUACCUGAAGAAAAAGCAUCGGCUAACUCCGUGCCAGCAGCCGCGGUAAUACGGAGGAUGCGAGCGUUAUCCGGAUUUAUUGGGUUUAAAGGGUGCGCAGGCGGUCUGUUAAGUCAGCGGUCAAAGCCCGGGGCUCAAGCC
Molecule: ribosomal RNA, 284 nt
Filed under: uncultured bacterium
Lineage: Bacteria
Description: partial 16S ribosomal RNA
Rfam family: Bacterial small subunit ribosomal RNA
Source: RNAcentral